GUUGUAAUCUGCAGAGGGAGUUUCGGGUGAAGUCUGGUUUAAGUUCCUUGGAACAGGACGUCAUAGAGGGUGAGAACCCCGUCAGUGACCAAUCACUAACCCGUGUGAAACCCCUUCGACGAGUCGAGUUGUUUGGGAAUGCAGCUCUAAAUGGGUGGUAAGUUUCAUCUAAAGCUAAAUAUUGGCCGGAGACCGAUAGCGCACAAGUAGAGUGAUCGAAAGAUGAAAAGCACUUUGGAAAGAGAGUUAAAUAGUACGUGAAAUUGUUGAAAGGGAAGCGCUUGCGGCCAGACCUGUGCAUAGGUGAUCAGUUGGUAUUUUUACCAAUGCACUCACCUAAAGCCAGGCCAGCAUCGGUUUCGGCGGCGGGACAAAAGCGUGGAGAAUGUAACUCUCUCUUGGGUGAGUACUUAUAGCUCGUCAUGAAAUGCCGCCAGCCGAGACCGAGGACCGCGCUUCGGCUAGGAUGCUGGCGUAAUGGUUGCAAGCGACCCGUCUUGAAACACGGACCAAGGAGUCUAACAUCUAUGCAAGUGUUUGGGUGUAAAACCCGGGCGCGGAAUGAAAGUGAACGGAGGUGGGAACCCUUAAAGGGGGUGCACCAUCGACCGAUCCUGAUGUCUUCGGAUGGAUUUGAGUAUGAGCAUAGCUGUUGGGACCCGAAAGAUGGUGAACUAUGCCUGAACAGGGUGAAGCCAGAGGAAACUCUGGUGGAAGCUCGCAGCGGUUCU
Molecule: ribosomal RNA, 731 nt
Filed under: Peltigera gallowayi
Lineage: Eukaryota; Fungi; Ascomycota; Lecanoromycetes; Peltigerales; Peltigeraceae
Description: partial 28S large subunit ribosomal RNA
Rfam family: Eukaryotic large subunit ribosomal RNA
Source: RNAcentral